Molecule: ribosomal RNA, 129 nt
Filed under: uncultured eukaryote
Lineage: Eukaryota
Description: partial 18S ribosomal RNA
Rfam family: Eukaryotic small subunit ribosomal RNA
Source: RNAcentral
UGGUGGAGUGAUCUGUCUGGUUAAUUCCGUUAACGAACGAGAUCUUACCCUACUAAAUAGACAAUUGUACGAUUUUCUUCUUAGAGGGACUCUUGAUCGUUUAGAUCAAGGAAGUUUGAGGUAAUAACA